GGAAUUUCGCUCAGUGGUAAAGUGCUUACCUAGGAAGUGCAAAGGUCCUGGGUUCAAUUCCCAGCACCG
RNAcentral lists this transfer RNA (69 nucleotides) under Marmota monax (woodchuck). Its description in RNAcentral is "tRNA.Pro". The record is from RNAcentral. Lineage: Eukaryota; Metazoa; Chordata; Mammalia; Rodentia; Sciuridae.